RNAcentral lists this ribosomal RNA (422 nucleotides) under uncultured bacterium. RNAcentral's name for it is "partial 16S ribosomal RNA". It matches the Rfam family "Bacterial small subunit ribosomal RNA", at positions 360 to 774 of the family's 1533-position model. The record is from RNAcentral.
AAUCUUCCGCAAUGGACGAAAGUCUGACGGAGCGAUGCCGCGUGAGUGAUGAAGGUCUUCGGAUCGUAAAACUCUGUUGUUAGGGAAGGACAAGUAUCUGAGUAAUAUGCCGGUACCUUGACGGUACCUAACCAGAAAGCCACGUCUCACUACGUGCCAGCAGCCGCGGUAAUCCGUAGGUGGCAAGCGUUAUCCGGAAUUAUUGGGCGUAAAACGCGCGCAGGCGGUUUCUUAAGGCUGAUGUGAAAGCCCACGGCUCAACCGUGGAGGGUCAUUGGAAACUGGGAAGCUUGAGUGCAGAAGAGGAGAGUGGAAUUCCAUGUGUAGCGGUGAAAUGCGUAGAGAUAUGGAGGAACACCAGUGGCGAAGGCGACUCUCUGGUCUGCAACUGACGCUGAGGCGCGAAAGCGUGGGAGCGAACA